UUUUUUAUGGAGAGUUUGAUCCUGGCUCAGAGUGAACGCUGGCGGCGUGCCUAAUACAUGCAAGUCGAACGAUGAAG
This 77-nucleotide ribosomal RNA is filed under the name Campylobacter jejuni. RNAcentral describes it as "partial 16S ribosomal RNA". It matches the Rfam family "Bacterial small subunit ribosomal RNA", at positions 1 to 74 of the family's 1533-position model. The record is from RNAcentral. Lineage: Bacteria; Pseudomonadati; Campylobacterota; Epsilonproteobacteria; Campylobacterales; Campylobacteraceae.